Molecule: non-coding RNA, 516 nt
Organism: Linepithema humile (Argentine ant)
Lineage: Eukaryota; Metazoa; Arthropoda; Insecta; Hymenoptera; Formicidae
Source: RefSeq, a predicted model, not a curated record
AUCAACGAUAGAUGAAUCGCGAUCUAGCAUGCCUGUCGUCUUUUGGCCGAGCACAGUCAAAGACGUCUCUUAAACUCGCAAUUUACUAAGGCAUGUAAAAUUGAGCAAAUAAUUUAGCCAUCUUAAACUCGAUUCUUCUUAGGAAAGAAAAAUCUGUCAGAACUAGAUAAGAAGAAAUAUAAUUGAUCUAACGUAACUGCUAGAAAUAUAAUUAGGGCAACACACAAGAAGAUGAGUUUUAACACAAGCUUAUUAUUUAUACUUAUUACCUUUAGUAUAUUGACGCAUGAGACUCUAGCUUACUUUUUGUGGCCUAAUAGUGGGUGUAAACUUAAGUAUCACAGAGGUCCUUGCGUCGAAGGACAGACGUAUUUUCCCUAUGUUAGAUGGUGGUAUAAUGACAAGACAGAUAAAUGUGAAACUUUUUCAUGGGGAGGUUGCAAAGGAAAUCCAAAUAUUUAUGACUCUGAGAUAGAAUGCAUCUACGCAUGUAUACACGUCAUUUUUUAUCCAUUG